This is a long non-coding RNA of Pistacia vera, 221 nucleotides long. RefSeq lists it as uncharacterized. The record is from RefSeq and is a predicted model, not a curated record. The transcript has 3 exons. NCBI's taxonomy places the organism in Eukaryota, Viridiplantae, Streptophyta, Magnoliopsida, Sapindales, Anacardiaceae.
GUUUUUUAAUGCAGAUUGCAGAGAAACUCAAAGUAGUGAUGGGAAUCUCAGUAGGAAUACCAGUGACAGAACACCCAAUCAGUUUAAUGAAGGCUUGCAGAUCUCUCAAGCUCUCCAAGUUCAACUGGAAGUGCAGAGGAAACUUCAUGAACAGAUUGAGGUACAGCGACAUUUGCAGCUGAGAAUUGAAGCUCAAGGGAAGUACUUACAGUCUGUCUUAA